GAUGAACGCUGGCGGCGUGCCUAACACAUGCAAGUCGAGCGAGAAGGUUAUGACGGAUUCUUCGGAUGACGGAUUAACUGGAAAGCGGCGGACGGGUGAGUAACGCGUGGGUAACCUGCCCCAUACACAGGGAUAGCCAUUGGAAACGAUGAUUAAUACCUGAUAACACAUAUUUACCGCAUGGUAGAAAUGUCAAAGAUUUAUCGGUAUGGGAUGGACCCGCGUCUGAUUAGUUAGUUGGUAAGGUAACGGCUUACCAAGACAGCGAUCAGUAGCCGACCUGAGAGGGUGAUCGGCCACACUGGAACUGAGACACGGUCCAGACUCCUACGGGAGGCAGCAGUGGGGAAUAUUGCACAAUGGGCGCAAGCCUGAUGCAGCAACGCCGCGUGAGCGAAGAAGGUCUUCGGAUCGUAAAAGCUCUUUUCUUAGGGAAGAAAAAUGACGGUACCUAAGGAAUAAGCACCGGCUAAAUACGUGCCAGCGCCGC
RNAcentral lists this ribosomal RNA (490 nucleotides) under uncultured bacterium. RNAcentral's name for it is "bacterial SSU rRNA". It matches the Rfam family "Bacterial small subunit ribosomal RNA", at positions 28 to 518 of the family's 1533-position model. The record is from RNAcentral.